Molecule: long non-coding RNA, 2383 nt
Organism: Loxodonta africana (African savanna elephant)
Lineage: Eukaryota; Metazoa; Chordata; Mammalia; Proboscidea; Elephantidae
Exons: 3
Source: RefSeq, a predicted model, not a curated record
AGUUAAGAAACAUACCUGCACACAAAAGACAUGCGUUAAAGCAGUUGCCCAUGGUGGGGAUGGGGAGGGCGUGGGAGUAAGGUAUGAGGAUAAAAGGAAGUCAUGAAAACAGACAAGAAAGGGGCCUUGCAAGAAUCCAAAGUGACAAUGCACAAUAGUGUGAUGACUCACUUCACUCUCUCCCUUUGAGAUCCAAAGUCAUAUAUAUUUAAAAUGUGAAAUCUGUACUCUGUCCUUCAGACUUACUGGAGCCUGUGGGCCUGGUUGGUUUCGCCUCCCUGACAGUCCCCCAUUUGAAAUCCCUGUCUCCUUUGACCUCGUUGGUAUGCGCAAACACUUCUGCUCACUGGCUUAGAUGCUUUAGUUUAAAAGGUUAAUAGAGACCAAUUUUUGUGCCUUGGAUGGCAGCCUGCAAGCUUUUAAGACCCUGGCACUGCAUAUAGAACUAGAAGGUAGAACAGAAGCACUAAACACAUUACUAGGCCAAUUAAUUGGGAUGUCCCGUGAAACAAUUUACUUGGAUUCACAAUCAACACCCAUGGAAGUAGCAGUCAAGAAAUCAAAAGACACAUUGCAUUUGGUAAAUCUGCUGUAAAAGACCUCUUUAAAGUGUUGAAAUGCAAAGAUGUCACCUUGAAGACUAAGGUGUGCCUGAUCUAAGCCAUGGUGCUUUCAGUCACCUCAUAUGCAUGUGAAAGCUAGACAAUGAAUAAGGAAGACCAAAAAAGAAAUGAAGCCUUUGAAUUGUGGUGUUGGAGAAGGACAUUGAAUGUAUCGUGGACUGCCAAAAGAACGAGCAAAUCUGUCUUGAAAGGAGUACAACCAGGAUACUCCUUAGAAGCAAGGAUGGCAAGACUACCCCUCACGUACGUUGGACAUGUUAUCAGGAGGGAUCAGUCUCCAGAGAAGGACAUAGUGCUUGGUAAAGUGGAGGGUCAGCAAAAAAGAGGAAGAUCCUGAAAGAGAUGGAUUGACACAGUGGCUGGAAUAAUGGGCUCGAGCAUAGCAACAAUUGUGAGGAUGGCACAGGACUGGGCAGUGUUUCAUUCUGUUGUGUGUAGGGUCGCUAUGAAUCAGAACCAACUCAAUGGCGUCUAACAACAACAACAAACCACCAAACCAAGUUGGUUGAAUCAUGGAUGUGGAAUCUGGAGAUACAGAGGGGCGGCUGUUUAAAAGUGCUUUAUUGCUGCUGCUAGAAUGGUGCAUGGAACUUGGUAAGUGCUCAAUAGCUAUGUGUUGAAUGAGUAGCAGUUAAGAUUUCUCAAAUGCUUUCAUAAGAGUCUCACUUCAAUUUUUUAUUUGUUCCAUACACAUUUACAGAAAACCAUGGGGAUACGCCAACCAUCGUGAGGAUAUAAAGAAGAAUAAUUCCUACUGUCAAAUUGACUAUGGCCUUCUGGUGGAAACUAGGGUUGUCAAGUUUAGCAAAUAAAAUACAGGACAUCCAGUUAAAUUUGAAUUUCAGAUGAACAACAAAUAAUUUUUUAUACAUAUGCCCCAAAUAUUGCAUGAGACCUACGUAUACAAAAAGAUUAUUUGUUGCUUAUUUAACUAGACAUUCUGUAUUUUAUCUGACAACCUUAAGUGGAGACAGACAUGUGAACUGAUAAAUUACAAUAUAUUACUGUACUUGCAGUAACAGAAAUCCAGGCACAGGCUGAGGGGCCACAGAGGAGAUAUUGACUAAUUCUGCCAGGGAAAGCAGGAAAAGCUUAUAAAGCAGACAUUUGCACCGGGUACCAAUGUAUGAAUAGGAGUUUGUAAGCUGAAAUUAGAGAAAAAGGUGUGAAAGAGCUUAUGUAAAGGCUGUAGCUGUGGAAAGAUGGGAAGAGUUUGGAAAAUAGUAUGAUAUUUAGUGUCAUAGAGAUUUUAGUGCCCAAAAGAUUUGCAGGGAUAACAUAGCUGGACUAGGAAGAAGCUAGAGGAAUGGGGUCUCUAUGAGUCUUUGUUUUUGUUAGAGGCUAGGUAGGGUCAGAUUAUUAAGAAUCCUAUACCCCAGCUAAACUGUUGUUACUGUUGUGUGCCAUCAAGUCAACUCUGACUCAUAGUGACUUAAUAGGACGGAAUAGGACUACCCAUAGGGUUUCCUAGGCUGUAAUCUCUAAGGAAGCAAAUCACUGGGUCUUUUCUCUGGCAGAGCAGCUGGUGGGUGCAAACCAUUGGCCUUUUGGUUAGCCACAGAGCACCUAACCAUUGUGCCACCAGGACUCCUUCACAACCUAAGGAAGGGGGUUAUUAUCCUACAGACUAGCAUUUGCUAGCCCUUUUCCCUCUUUAAAAAGAAACUCUGGAACCUCCUACAUAGAAAUAUACAAUCUUUCAAUUCUCUCUUGAAAUUAUUUUUCACAGUUUCAUCAUUUUUAUGACAUAUGAUAGUUGA